ACGAGACCCCUGCCUGCUAAAUAGUUGGGCGAAUGAAUGUUCAUUGGCCGCAGCUUCUUAGAGGGACGUGCGUUCUAUUAGACGCAGGAAGAUAGGGGCAAUAACAGGUCUGUGAUGCCCUUGGAUGUCCUGGGCCGCACGCGCGUUACACUGAUGCACUCAACGAGUCUGCCUUGGCCGAGAGGCCUGGGAAAUCUCGUUAACAUGCAUCGUGAUAGGGAUAGAUUAUUGCAAUUAUUAAUCUUGAACGAGGAAUUCCUAGUAAACGCAGAUCAUCAAUCUGCAUUGAUUACGUCCCUGCCCUUUGUACACACCGCCCGUCGCACCUACCGAUUGAAUGGUCCGGUGAGGCCUCGGGAUUGCGAUGAGUUUCCCUCAUUGGGAGUUCGUCGCGAGAACCUGUCUAAACC
This 410-nucleotide ribosomal RNA is filed under the name uncultured eukaryote. RNAcentral describes it as "SSU rRNA". It matches the Rfam family "Eukaryotic small subunit ribosomal RNA", at positions 1335 to 1765 of the family's 1831-position model. The record is from RNAcentral.